GGAAAUCAAAAUUAAUUUCUGAAAAAUUACAUGGAACUAUGAUUUUCUUGGUGUCUCUGACAAUUGCUUCAAGAUGGAAUGCAUAAGCUCCAUCAACGGCCAUUUGUAAGUAGAUCGAUACCAUAAGGAUGCUUACAAAGUGUGUGUUUCUCUUAGUUUACCUGAGGGUGUGUGGGGUGCGUGUUUGUAUGGCCAUUUUGGCCUUCUCUUCUUUCUUGAUGCAAUGAUACACAGUUCUGCGUAGUUCUGCGUAUUCGAGAAAACAUAAGGAUGCUUAGUUAACGUGCUGAUCCUUUACAGCAUGCAAUGAAAGCUCUUAUUGGGUGCUACAUAUUGUUUGGUGUGUACUCAGUAGUGUGUUUUUUGUGGGAACAUACAGUAGUAUCAUCAAAUUUUAUAUGACGUCACUUUGUAUAUAUUUUUGAUAUAAAUUACAGUCUGUUGAUAUCUUUUUAGUGCAGUAGACAAUUAAUUAUUAUUUUCCAUUUUCGUGUGUUAUAUAGGUCAUCGACAAAGCUCGUUCGGCAACUGAAUGGUGAUGUGUCAUUUUGCACAUAACGUGGAUGCCAAUAGUAAUAUUAUGAUUUUGAUCUUCAAACACAACACAUACUUUUGGUAUAGGAUGUUCUAAGGAAAAAACGUCUCAAGUUGCAUGUAACGAGUCUGUUUUGGCUUUUGUUCAUAUAUGGGUGACAAUGUGUGGUGUUACUAGACCACUGUUUGGUCAAUUGGAGUAACAAAUCUAGUGAUCUCUCUUGUUAUAGUGAUCUCUCUUGUUAGAGUUACUGUGGUUGUAUUGUAGUGGCCUCUUUGUGUAAUGGGCUUAGGUCUAACAAUUCUAUUAUAAAUAUGUCACCAACCCUAGUUAGGGUUAUGGGUGGCAAUGGGACCCAAUCCUCGAUUCUUCGUGGGAAAUUAAUCUAUUAGAGGAUGGAGAACUUUCUUUCCAUACGGAAAUGUAAAUGGGAAAAAAUCGUCCCUGAUAGGUAAAUAGGGAUGGAGAUGGGGAAGCAUUUUCCAUCAUCAUUCCCUGCGAGACUCGUUAAAUUUGCACGUGACAAUGUUUUUAUAUAUAGUUAAUGAUAAAAAUAAAUAAUUAUCUUACCAAGAGAUCACUCCUUAUACAAAUUUGUUCAUUUUGAUAUAUAUAUACUGAUUUCUUACAUCUGAGAAUGUGUAUAAAUGACAAUAUUUUGAAUUAAUAACAAAGGAACUACAUACUUAGGGUUAGGCUUUUCAGUCUAAUAUGGUAUCUACAACUAUGUUUAACCUUCUUCCCCACCCGAGCCCCAACUGUAGCCAUCGGCUAUAGUAACUCGUCGGCGUCCGCAGGUCACGCCCUCGACGUGCUAGGCUCCAUGGUCGGUGUCAUCUGCUGUCCACGCCCCCGACGCGCAAAGUUCGCUCCCUCGCCUAAUUGCCUGUGUCGACCUCUAACGCGUCUAGCGCCGUCGCGGGUCGAGCCGCAACUCUGUUCCCC
This 1480-nucleotide long non-coding RNA is filed under the name Zea mays. Its description in RNAcentral is "long non-coding RNA (ZMAY_LNC003571)". The record is from RNAcentral. Lineage: Eukaryota; Viridiplantae; Streptophyta; Magnoliopsida; Poales; Poaceae.